CAGUAGCCGCGGUAAUACGUAGGGUCCGAGCGUUGUCCGGAAUUAUUGGGCGUAAAGGGCUCGUAGGCGGUUUGUUGCGUCGGGAGUGAAAACCCAGGGCUUAACUUUGGGCUUGCUUUCGAUACGGGCAGACUUGAGGCAUUGAGGGGAGAACGGAAUUCCUGGUGUAGCGGUGAAAUGCGCAGAUAUCAGGAGGAACACCGGUGGCGAAGGCGGUUCUCUGGCAAUGUUCUGACGCUGAGGAGCGAAAGUGUGGGGAGCGAACAGGAUUAGAGACCCCUGUAGUCCCUGUCUCUUAUAA
Molecule: ribosomal RNA, 301 nt
Filed under: uncultured bacterium
Lineage: Bacteria
Description: partial 16S ribosomal RNA
Rfam family: Bacterial small subunit ribosomal RNA
Source: RNAcentral